Nannospalax galili (Upper Galilee mountains blind mole rat) is the source of this 1883-nucleotide long non-coding RNA. RefSeq lists it as uncharacterized. The record is from RefSeq and is a predicted model, not a curated record. The transcript is spliced from 4 exons. Lineage: Eukaryota; Metazoa; Chordata; Mammalia; Rodentia; Spalacidae.
CAUAAAGCCAAGCUUUCCCUGGCCCCUACAGUUUGGAUCAGCACCUACGUCCCCUCCAAGACCAAAGCACCACUUCAAUGACAGGUUAUCAGCCAGCCCUCUUUUGAGAAGGAACCAGGAAUGAUGCUUGAAUGUAUGUCUAGGCAAUGCUGAGCACAUUCUGGAAAGCUGGUGGUGAUCUGCAAGGCUUCCUGGGGUGUAUGCGAUCAGAAAUGACAUUCAGGAUGCUAUUGAUACCUCCAGAUUAUACAACUCUUCUUACAGCAACUGAUAGGCAAUGGAAAUGAUGACAGAAAAGCGCAACAGUCCAUUUUUCUUUUCUAUGCCACCACACACUCUAAUUCUUUUAACCAGUCUCCUUGGCUAGUUUUUUUUUUAAUCAGAAGCACCAGUGGCUGAACCAAGCUGUAUAAGAAGUUCUGGAGAUCUCAUCAAACAAUUUCCAACAUCACUGCCAGGUCCACUACUUCCCAGACAAUUUUGCUGCCCAUGGAAGUCCCUGGCCUAGUCUUCUGCAGUGUCACGCUCUGUGUAUUUGACAAGCUGAGUUGGACACUCCAUAUGGUAGAGUGUCAGUUUGUCAAAUACCCCAAGUGUGGCAUAUGCCUAGCAACUCCAGGCCCAGGACACUGCAAAUAGACUGCUGGUGGGGUAAAAGAAUGUUUAUCAAACACCAAGCUCUCUCAAAUUAUUAUAUGGCUUUGAGGGAACUAAAGCCUUUCAUCAGAGGGCAACAGAAUAAUAGUGAGGCAGCACUGGGAGCUACAACCCUGGGCUGCACAAUGGUUUUGAAAAUCCAUAAGGGAUAUACGGAAGAAAGUGCUAUUUGAUUUUUUUUUUUAUCAUCUUCUUCCUUCUCAUUCUCCUUCUCAGAGCCAGGAGACCAAUAUCCUCAUAUAAACAUCACGAAUGUAUGUGACAAAGUAGGACACAGAAGUCUAGUUUCUUGCUUUCUGAGGACAUCUUGGCCUUACAUACAGCUUCUCUUUUCUUAUUUCCUUGUCUCAUUCUUGGAGCCUCUUUCCUAUGUCUCUUUGCCUACACAAUUCUUCCCUGUACUUCUGGACUCCAUCAAAGUGCUGUCUUUGUGGGGAAUUUUAAAAGUUCCUUUCUCCUUGCCUUGAUGCUAGUAUGUGCUAUUGUAUUUCUUAUCACCAAAUAUGUCCUUUAAAAGUUAGUGAACGUUUCCAAGAUAUAUUCUUGAAUUCCCCACUGCAUUGUAAGAUUAUAAAGUGAAAGUCUGUAGCUUAUUAAUUUCUAUGUCCCCUACUAUCGCCCAGCGUUGUAACUAUCUAAUAAAUGUUUAUAGAUUGAUGUUCCACUUGUCCAUGAGCUUUGGGUAUAUGGUCGGAAUGUUACUCAGGAUUUUGUAAAAAAGAAAAUCAAACUGUGCCAUGAAGUAUAUAAGGUAGUAGCCAAAGUGGAAAGGUUGGGGGAGUGAAAAAGAGGGGGAUAAAAGCUCAGGGGACAAAUCAGUUUUGUAUUACUUGGUUACACAGAUAUACAAUGACUUUUAAUAGUAUUUUUCUAAGCCUAUAAUAUUCUAAUGCUGCAUUGGGAAUGACUAUGAUAUAGAGCUAUGGAACAAAACAUUUCUGAUAUCUAGUUCCAGAGUCUAAUAUUCCAUGGAAUAUAAUUUGGGAAACUUCCCUAAAGUAAUGUACUUUCCCUUAGCUCUGGAGAUCUCCUCUAUUUGCUCUUUAACUUUCCCCUGACCAGCCAGCCACCUAAAUGUCAAGCCUCAUGUGUCACCACAUUUUUUUGCUUAGAAUAUUAUGAGGAUUGUCUUGGUACCUAGGAAUUACUUAGUGUCUUAUUCUGCAUGGGAGAAAGUCAUAUUUUGGAUGCAAAGAUUAUCUUUGGAAGCUUUCUGCUGUAAUGAA